UACAGAGGUCCCAAGCGUUGUUCGGAUUCACUGGGCGUAAAGGGUGCGUAGGUGGUUGGGUAAGUCUGAUGUGAAAUCUCGGAGCCUAACUCCGAAACGGCAUCGGAUACUAUCUAGCUUGAGGGCUGGAGGGGGGACUGGAAUUCUCGGUGUAGCAGUGAAAUGCGUAGAUAUCGAGAGGAACGCCAAUGGCGAAGGCUAGUCUCUGGACAGCACCUGACACUGAGGCACGAAAGCUAGGGGAGCAAACAGG
This 253-nucleotide ribosomal RNA is filed under the name uncultured bacterium. Its description in RNAcentral is "partial 16S ribosomal RNA". It matches the Rfam family "Bacterial small subunit ribosomal RNA", at positions 524 to 776 of the family's 1533-position model. The record is from RNAcentral.